Molecule: transfer RNA, 86 nt
Filed under: Planctomycetaceae bacterium
Lineage: Bacteria; Pseudomonadati; Planctomycetota; Planctomycetia; Planctomycetales; Planctomycetaceae
Also listed under: 1 other name
Description: tRNA-Leu
Rfam family: tRNA
About the family: Transfer RNA (tRNA) molecules are approximately 80 nucleotides in length. Their secondary structure includes four short double-helical elements and three loops (D, anti-codon, and T loops). Further hydrogen bonds mediate the characteristic L-shaped molecular structure. tRNAs have two regions of fundamental functional importance: the anti-codon, which is responsible for specific mRNA codon recognition, and the 3' end, to which the tRNAs corresponding amino acid is attached (by aminoacyl-tRNA synthetases). tRNAs cope with the degeneracy of the genetic code in two manners: having more than one tRNA (with a specific anti-codon) for a particular amino acid; and 'wobble' base-pairing, i.e. permitting non-standard base-pairing at the 3rd anti-codon position.
Source: RNAcentral
GGCCGGAUGGCGGAAUUGGCAGACGCACAGGACUUAAAAUCCUGUGGCCCUUACGGGCCGUGCGGGUUCGACCCCCGCUCCGGCUA